This is a long non-coding RNA of Vespa mandarinia (Asian giant hornet), 776 nucleotides long. Lineage: Eukaryota; Metazoa; Arthropoda; Insecta; Hymenoptera; Vespidae. The record is from RefSeq and is a predicted model, not a curated record.
AUUCAUCCUAAUGAUCAUUAUGACGAAUUCAUUAAUUUUAAUCUGUUGAUCGCGCACACCACUUUGUGCGUGUGUAAUUGAAGUUCAUAAAUUUAUUUAUACAAAUAAUCCGUGUAUAUAUAUAAGUAACGUGAUCAGAUUCUUAACAAAUAUUGUAUCAUGUCAAUCCGUUUUAUACAAAACAAGGAUUUAGUAUGGAAUUAAUUUACAUUUUAAAAAUUAACAGAACUAUUUUUUUAUACACUAUUUCCUUUUUCUAAUUUGUUGUUUAAUUCUUACAAUACGUUUAAUACUUUACGAAGAAAAUUAAUUAAAAAUUCUAAUGUUAUACGCAAUUCUAUAUACGCUUGCACAAAUGAAAAUAUCAAAUGAUAAUGCUCGCGCUUAAAAAUUCUCUUUGCCAUGUUGUACGAGAAUUUAUCUAAUUUUCGAAUCAUAUUAUAAAUAGAAUUAUUCCAAUUUUCAAAUCAUAUUGUAGGAAUAUCGUGUUAUAAGGGAUUUGUUUGUAUUCGGAAUAAAAUCUGUAGUGUACUUUAGUCAAUCCCCGUACUAAGAAAAUCGACAAUCGAAUGUUAAUUAGCUUCAAUAUCUAUAUUUGCAACGGUACGGCGAUUGCGUAUAAGUCGAGGGUGGAUGAGGAUGAUAUACACGAUAGUGGGGGAAAAUUUACUUAGGAAUCGAGCAACAAGAUCUUUCGAUGCUCCUUAGGAUCAUUUCUUCGUCAGCUCUCACCUGCUAAAGUGAAAACAACGAAAGGAAAGUGAAUUUGAUUUUAU